CCUGUUAUUCCAUUAGCAGUAGCCUAUCGUCACCGAAGCGGCUGGCAACGGCCGUGAGGCAGCAUGGCGAGAAAAGGCAGCCCUCCCGAAAGGGUCAAGCCGAAACCGCGAGGCAGAGGCGAAAAGCUGGAAGCAACGUCCGGCUGGGGAG
Molecule: non-coding RNA, 151 nt
Organism: Firmicutes bacterium CAG:466
Lineage: Bacteria; Bacillati; Bacillota
Source: Rfam